RNAcentral lists this ribosomal RNA (303 nucleotides) under uncultured bacterium. Its description in RNAcentral is "partial 16S ribosomal RNA". It matches the Rfam family "Bacterial small subunit ribosomal RNA", at positions 507 to 807 of the family's 1533-position model. The record is from RNAcentral.
AGCAGCCGCCGCGGGAAUACGAAGGGUGCAAGCGUUAAUCGGAAUUACUGGGCGUAAAGCGUGCGUAGGCGGUUUGUUAAGUCUGUUGUGAAAUCCCCGGGCUCAACCUGGGAAUGGCAAUGGAUACUGGCAAGCUAGAGUGUGUCAGAGGAUGGUGGAAUUCCCGGUGUAGCGGUGAAAUGCGUAGAGAUCGGGAGGAACAUCAGUGGCGAAGGCGGCCAUCUGGGACAACACUGACGCUGAGGCACGAAAGCGUGGGGAGCAAACAGGAUUAGAUACCCGAGUAGUCCCUGUCUCUUAUAC